RNAcentral lists this small nuclear RNA (70 nucleotides) under Cervus elaphus hippelaphus. The record is from RNAcentral. Lineage: Eukaryota; Metazoa; Chordata; Mammalia; Artiodactyla; Cervidae.
CUCACUUCAGCAGCACCUAUGCUAAAAUUGGGAUGAUACAGAGAAAAUUAGCGUGGCCCCUGCGCAAGAA